AGAAAUACAGACCUUCUGCACGGUGAGUUUGAUGGCAUGUUGCCCGUCCGGGAGCAAUCCAAAGUUGAACUGCAAGUCCCAGUUUUGCCCUAGCUUUCCUGAAGCAGCCUACCUGCAAAACAUGUGUUACACCCUUACGAUGUAGGACGUCCUUCUGUGCCUCGAGAUGACAGCUGCUCAGAUACAGGUUGCUAACAAUUUGGCAUAAGCUGUCUCGAGUGCCUGUAUCAACAGGAGGCUUUUUGCUUGCAAAUGUUUUUGCAAUAGCCGCCUUUGCAAGCCAGAAGGACGCCUGGUUGUCCAACGCCCCUGCCAUGUGACCAUCGGGGCCGGACCAAGAGCAGCAGAGCUGUCAACGCGAAAUCAGUGACUUCUCCAUCGUGCUACGGUGCAGAUAAUUU
RNAcentral lists this long non-coding RNA (401 nucleotides) under Volvox carteri. RNAcentral's name for it is "long non-coding RNA (VCAR_LNC000115)". Lineage: Eukaryota; Viridiplantae; Chlorophyta; Chlorophyceae; Chlamydomonadales; Volvocaceae. The record is from RNAcentral.